AUGGACUGCUCGAGCGCAGUCAUCCUUGAUGGGCACAGUGUUCUAUCCGGCGCGAGCUCCUCCCCUAGCGAGUUCCGCUCCCCCGCCGGCAGCCAUUCUGGCCCCGGCGUCCACCUCCGCUUCCGCCGCCGGCCACCCAGGCCCCGUUGCCCUCUCCCUUCUCCGGCAGCCACCCGAGCCCCGGCUAUCCUUCCGCUGCGCUCGCCCAUGGGGCUGUUUCGCCAUGGCUUCGGGUCCGGCCAGCCCCGCUUCGGUGUCGUCGAGGCUGCAGCCCAUUGUCUCCGGCUUGGGGCUGUUAGGCUCGUCUGGUUCUGCGGGCGCGUCCACCAGUGCUGGAGGUGCGCCGGCUCGACCUAUCGAUGGCCCGGCCACGGGCUCCUCCGCUCCAUGGCGCAAGCCGAGGCCGUCCCACAAGGCUCUUUGGCGCAAAAGGAAAGCGUUUCGGAAGUAGGCAGCGGCGGGAGGAGCCCGGUCGCGCUCGCCGGCGUCGUCCCAGAGAGGAGAGAGAUCCCGACAGAUCUGUUUGGCCUUUGCUUCACAUGCUUCAGGGAGGGUCACCGCUGGGAAGAUUGCAACUUUCCACCGUUGUGCAUCCGGUGUGGUCUGGAGGGUCACAUUUCUUUGGAGUGCAAGCGGCCGAGGAGUCUAAGGUCGAAAGAAGAUCUCCGGCGGGAUGUCGUUGCCGAGGUUGCGCGUGCUUCGCAGCCGUCGAUGGAGGCCGGACUAGCGAACAGGCUGUCGUCGGCGACUAGGCAGACCGCUCCGCCGGAGAGGUCCGCGCCAGUGUCGGUCGACACCACACCUGUGGAGUUUGGGCAGGCAUCGGGUGCAGCUAUCGCUUCCGGUGCCAUCUGCGUGCUCCGUAGGACGCCGGAGAUGGAGGAUCUUGAGCAGCGUUUGAGGUUGGCGGUGGUGGCGUACAUGGGCAGCACUCGGCCCCCGGUGUCGUGCCGGGAGGCAGCGGAAGGAGUGUCGACGGCCCUACGUAUUCCCCUCCAUCGGUUCUAUGUCCACAAGUUCCAUCCCAAGAACUUCCGGGUGGUUUUCGCUUCGCCGGAGCUGCGCAAUAAGGCUUUGGCGGCGGGCACCGUUGAGUAUGGCUACUUCAAGCUGUUCAUCAAACCAUGGCUCAAGCAGGCGCAAGCGGUGUCCAGAGUGAUGCGUACUCAAGUUGACCUCAUGAUCGAGGGGGUUCCAUCUCAUGCGUGGAUGACCGAGACGGCGACCGAGCUCCUUGGCUCAUAG
This 1245-nucleotide ribosomal RNA is filed under the name Triticum aestivum (bread wheat). RNAcentral describes it as "partial small subunit ribosomal RNA". The record is from RNAcentral. Lineage: Eukaryota; Viridiplantae; Streptophyta; Magnoliopsida; Poales; Poaceae.